UACGUAGGGGGCAAGCGUUGUCCGGAUUCAUUGGGCGUAAAGAGCUCGUAGGCGGUUUGUCGCGUCUGCUGUGAAAACUCGGGGCUUAACCCCGGGCCUGCAGUGGGUACGGGCAGACUAGAGUGCGGUAGGGGAGACUGGAAUUCCUGGUGUAGCGGUGAAAUGCGCAGAUAUCAGGAGGAACACCGGUGGCGAAGGCGGGUCUCUGGACAGUUCCUGACGCUGAGGCACGAAGGCCAGGGGAGCAAACGGG
RNAcentral lists this ribosomal RNA (253 nucleotides) under uncultured bacterium. RNAcentral describes it as "partial 16S ribosomal RNA". It matches the Rfam family "Bacterial small subunit ribosomal RNA", at positions 524 to 776 of the family's 1533-position model. The record is from RNAcentral.